CUAUACGGUGAAACUGCGAAUGGCUCAUUAAAUCAGUUAUCGUUUAUUUGAUAGUACCUUACUACUUGGAUAACCGUGGUAAUUCUAGAGCUAAUACAUGCUAAAAACCCCGACUUCGGGAGGGGUGUAUUUAUUAGAUAAAAAACCAAUGCCCUUCGGGGCUCCGUGGUGAUUCAUAAUAACUAAACGAAUCGCAUGGCCUUGUGCCGGCGAUGGUUCAUUCAAAUUUCUGCCCUAUCAACUUUCGAUGGUAGGAUAGUGGCCUACCAUGGUUUCAACGGGUAACGGGGAAUUAGGGUUCGAUUCCGGAGAGGGAGCCUGAGAAACGGCUACCACAUCCAAGGAAGGCAGCAGGCGCGCAAAUUACCCAAUCCCGACACGGGGAGGUAGUGACAAUAAAUACUGAUACAGGGCUCUUUUGGGUCUUGUAAUUGGAAUGAGUACAAUUUAAAUCCCUUAACGAGGAACAAUUGGAGGGCAAGUCUGGUGCCAGCAGCCGCGGUAAUUCCAGCUCCAAUAGCGUAUAUUAAAGUUGUUGCAGUUAAAAAGCUCGUAGUUGAACCUUGGGCCUGGCUGGCCGGUCCGCCUCACCGCGUGCACUGGUCCGGCCGGGCCUUUCCUUCUGGGGAAUCGCAUGCCCUUUACUGGGUGUGUCGGGGAACCAGGACUUUUACUUUGAAAAAAUUAGAGUGUUCAAAGCAGGCCUAUGCUCGAAUACAUUAGCAUGGAAUAAUAGAAUAGGACGUGUGGUUCUAUUUUGUUGGUUUCUAGGACCGCCGUAAUGAUUAAUAGGGAUAGUCGGGGGCAUCAGUAUUCAAUUGUCAGAGGUGAAAUUCUUGGAUUUAUUGAAGACUAACUACUGCGAAAGCAUUUGCCAAGGAUGUUUUCAUUAAUCAGUGAACGAAAGUUAGGGGAUCGAAGACGAUCAGAUACCGUCGUAGUCUUAACCAUAAACUAUGCCGACUAGGGAUCGGGCGAUGUUAUCUUUUUGACUCGCUCGGCACCUUACGAGAA
This 1014-nucleotide ribosomal RNA is filed under the name Phaeohelotium maiusaurantium. RNAcentral's name for it is "SSU rRNA". It matches the Rfam family "Eukaryotic small subunit ribosomal RNA", at positions 74 to 1096 of the family's 1831-position model. Lineage: Eukaryota; Fungi; Ascomycota; Leotiomycetes; Helotiales; Helotiaceae. The record is from RNAcentral.